GUUCAGCUGACGAGUCCCGAAUAGGACGAAACGCGCAUCCUGGAU
Molecule: non-coding RNA, 45 nt
Filed under: Schistosoma mansoni
Lineage: Eukaryota; Metazoa; Platyhelminthes; Trematoda; Strigeidida; Schistosomatidae
Source: RNAcentral